Molecule: ribosomal RNA, 329 nt
Filed under: uncultured eukaryote
Lineage: Eukaryota
Description: partial 18S ribosomal RNA
Rfam family: Eukaryotic small subunit ribosomal RNA
Source: RNAcentral
CCCUUAGAUGGUCUGGGCCGCACGCGCGCUACACUGAUGCAUUCAACGAGUCUAAAACCUGCUCUGAUAGGGGUGGGUAAUCUUUUGAAUGUGCAUCGUGAUUGGGAUAGAUGAUUGCAAUUUUUCAUCUUCAACGAGGAAUGCCUAGUAAACGCAAGUCAUCAGCUUGCAUUGAUUACGUCCCUGCCCUUUGUACACACCGCCCGUCGCUCCUACCGAUUGAAUGAUCCGAUGAAUAUCAUGGAUUGAGGAUGCAAGUAGGUUAGCCUAUCUUCAUCUUCGAGAAGUGAAGUAAAUCUUAUCAUUUAGAGGAAGGAGAAGUCGUAACA